CAAUUCCAGAGCCUCCACUUUUUCCCCAGCUGCAUGGAAGACCUUGAGGACAGCCAGAGCCUGAUGGGAGCCAGCAGAGAGAAGCUGAAGGCCAGCAGCAGGAGCAGGGAAUGGGGACCUGCUGCUGCCACCCUGGAGAGAGCUUGGAUGUCCCAUCUGCUGUCCCUGUCCAGGAGAGCUGCUCUGCACGGGAGGAGAAGACCGAGGGAGAGGCUUUGAAGAUGAGGCAGCUGGGAUCCUUCUGCUUUUUGUGCUGUUUAAUUAUAUAUGGACUAGCAUGGAGUUACUGAUAAUUACAUGCAUUUUUUCAUAUGUAGCUUGCUAUUUGUAUUGGUAUAUUUCUGUAUGUAUCUUGUUAUUUUUAUGAAUGUACUCUCUAUCUAUGUACGUAGAGAUAUAUACAUACAGGUUUGCAGUUACGUAUUUGCGUAAAUACGUAUCUACUUUUUUAUGUAUGUUGUAAUAUCUGUGUUUAGUUAUUUUUCCAUAUGUGUACAGCUUUGUAGGUGUUUAUAUUUAUCAAUGUAGUUUUCAGUAUAUAUCUUUUAAAACUAGUGUAUUGGUAUUUGUAUUGGUACAGAUGCCUAUUUUUAUAUUUUUAAUUGUAUAUUGAUGUAUUUGUAUUUAAAUAUAUUUACAUAUGUUUCCAGAUGCAUAUCUGUCUGUAUAUUUGUAUGGAUGCAGUUGGAUUGGUAUUUAGACUGGUACAGUAAUAUUUGUAUAUUUAAAAAUAGUUGUGGUUGAAGUAUUUAUAUAUAUAUAUUUUAUAUAAUCUAUAAUAUUUAAUCUAUAUUUACAUCGUUAGAUUGUUAUAGAUUUAUUUUUAUAUAUGUUCAUGUAUGUAUGUAUUAAAUUCUGUUUAUAGAUGUAUAGUUGCAUAACUAUUGAAUUCUUGUUGGGGUAUUUAGAGAGGGAAUGCAUAUUUUUGUAUUUCUAUAUGGGGUCUGCAUUUGUAGUAAUAUGUAAUAAAUUAAGUUGUUAAACGCCUAAUUGAUCUUUGUGUAUAGUGAGUUGCGUAUAGUGGAGGCUAGCAAUAAAUCAAGUUUGGUUAAGUGAACUUGGUUUUUGUAUAUUUUUACAUAGACAGGUUGUAAUAAUCUAAUAAAUUGCUGGUUUUACCUUAAAUUGAGAUCUGUUUAGUUCUGUAUUGUCAGCAUGGGUGUAGCAGUUUGUAAUAAAUGACAUUUUUCAACUGAAA
This is a long non-coding RNA of Haemorhous mexicanus (house finch), 1198 nucleotides long. RefSeq lists it as uncharacterized. The record is from RefSeq and is a predicted model, not a curated record. The transcript is spliced from 2 exons. Lineage: Eukaryota; Metazoa; Chordata; Aves; Passeriformes; Fringillidae.